Molecule: ribosomal RNA, 253 nt
Filed under: uncultured bacterium
Lineage: Bacteria
Description: partial 16S ribosomal RNA
Rfam family: Bacterial small subunit ribosomal RNA
Source: RNAcentral
UACGGGGGGGGCAAGCGUUGUUCGGAAUUAUUGGGCGUAAAGGGCGCGUAGGCGGCCAUGCGUGUCUUCCGUGAAAUCCCUCGGCUUAACUGAGGACGUGCGGAAGAAACUGCAAGGCUUGAGUCCGGGAGAGGGGGGUGGAAUUCCCAGUGUAGCGGUGAAAUGCGUAGAUAUUGGGAGGAACACCGGUGGCGAAGGCGGCCCCCUGGACCGGUACUGACGCUGAGGCGCGAAAGCGUGGGUAGCAAACGGG